UUUGUACUCCCUCCGUUCCAAAAUUCUUGUCUUAAAUUUGUCUAAAUACGGAUGUAUCUAGUUACAUUUUAGUGUUAGAUACAUCCGUAUCUAAACAAAUGUAAGACAAGAAUUUUGGGACGGAGGGAAUUCUAC
Triticum aestivum (bread wheat) is the source of this 135-nucleotide non-coding RNA. The record is from Rfam. Lineage: Eukaryota; Viridiplantae; Streptophyta; Magnoliopsida; Poales; Poaceae.